Molecule: transfer RNA, 79 nt
Filed under: Sphaerodactylus townsendi
Lineage: Eukaryota; Metazoa; Chordata; Lepidosauria; Squamata; Sphaerodactylidae
Description: tRNA-Ser
Source: RNAcentral
GGGGAUGGGGUGAUGGCACAGUGGUAGAGGCAUCUGCUUGGACUGCAGAAGUUUCCAGGUUAAGUCCUUGGCAUCUCCU